Molecule: ribosomal RNA, 253 nt
Filed under: uncultured bacterium
Lineage: Bacteria
Description: partial 16S ribosomal RNA
Rfam family: Bacterial small subunit ribosomal RNA
Source: RNAcentral
UACAGAGGGUGCGAGCGUUAAUCGGAAUUACUGGGCGUAAAGCGUGCGUAGACGGUUUUGUAAGUCGGAUGUGAAAUCCCCGGGCUCAACCUGGGAAUUGCAUUCGAGACUGCAAGGCUUGGGUGCGGAAGAGGGAAGCGGAAUUUCCGGUGUAGCGGUGAAAUGCGUAGAUAUCUGGAGGAACACCGGUGGCGAAGGCGGCAUCCUGGACCGGCAUUGACGCUGAGGCGCGAAAGCUAGGGGAGCAAACGGG